RNAcentral lists this microRNA (22 nucleotides) under Macaca mulatta (Rhesus monkey). RNAcentral's name for it is "mml-miR-891a". Its record names the gene mml-miR-891a. Lineage: Eukaryota; Metazoa; Chordata; Mammalia; Primates; Cercopithecidae. RNAcentral also lists the same sequence under 3 other names. The record is from miRBase by way of RNAcentral.
UGCAACUUACCUGAGUCAUUGA